AGGUGCGACAAUACUACCAUUAAUGCAUUAGAUCCCAUUAGAACUUUGCAGUUAAGCGUGCUUGGGCGAUAGUAGUACUAGGAUGGGUGACCUCCUAGGAAGUGCUCAUCUUGCACCUC
Molecule: ribosomal RNA, 119 nt
Filed under: Lupinus angustifolius (narrow-leaved blue lupine)
Lineage: Eukaryota; Viridiplantae; Streptophyta; Magnoliopsida; Fabales; Fabaceae
Source: RNAcentral